GACGAACGCUGGCGGCGUGCUUAACACAUGCAAGUCGAACGGAAAGGCUCCAGCUUGCUGGAGUACUCGAGUGGCGAACGGGUGAGUAACACGUGGGUAAUCUGCCCUGCACUCUGGGAUAAGCCUGGGAAACUGGGUCUAAUACUGGAUAUGACCUUUCUCCUUAUGGGGUUUGGUGGAAAGUUUUUCGGUGUAGGAUGAGCCCGCGGCCUAUCAGCUUGUUGGUGGGGUGAUGGCCUACCAAGGCGACGACGGGUAGCCGGCCUGAGAGGGUGAUCGGCCACAUUGGGACUGAGAUACGGCCCAGACUCCUACGGGAGGCAGCAGUGGGGAAUAUUGCACAAUGGGCGGAAGCCUGAUGCAGCGACGCCGCGUGAGGGAUGACGGCCUUCGGGUUGUAAACCUCUUUCAGCAGGGACGAAGCGUAAGUGACGGUACCUGAAGAAGAAGCACCGGCUAACUAUGUGC
This 468-nucleotide ribosomal RNA is filed under the name uncultured bacterium. RNAcentral describes it as "partial 16S ribosomal RNA". It matches the Rfam family "Bacterial small subunit ribosomal RNA", at positions 28 to 508 of the family's 1533-position model. The record is from RNAcentral.